GAUGAACGCUGGCGGCGUGCCUAAUACAUGCAAGUCGAGCGAACAGACGAGGAGCUUGCUCCUCUGACGUUAGCGGCGGACGGGUGAGUAACACGUGGAUAACCUACCUAUAAGACUGGGAUAACUUCGGGAAACCGGAGCUAAUACCGGAUAAUAUAUUGAACCGCAUGGUUCAAUAGUGAAAGACGGUUUUGCUGUCACUUAUAGAUGGAUCCGCGCCGCAUUAGCUAGUUGGUAAGGUAACGGCUUACCAAGGCAACGAUGCGUAGCCGACCUGAGAGGGUGAUAGGCCACACGGGAACUGAGACACGGUCCAGACGCCUACGGGAGGCAGCAGUAGGGAAUCUUCCGCAAUGGGCGAAAGCUUGACGGAGCAACGCCGCGUGAGUGAUGAAGGUCUUCGGAUCGUAAAACUCUGUUAUUAGGGAAGAACAAAUGUGUAAGUAACUAUGCACGUCUUGACGGUACCUAAUCAGAAAGCCACGGCUAACUACGUG
This 497-nucleotide ribosomal RNA is filed under the name uncultured bacterium. Its description in RNAcentral is "partial 16S ribosomal RNA". It matches the Rfam family "Bacterial small subunit ribosomal RNA", at positions 28 to 507 of the family's 1533-position model. The record is from RNAcentral.